AGCCAUGUGGCGUAGUGGCUUGAGUGUUGGACUAUGACUCUAGAGACCAGGGUUUGAUUCCCAGCUGGGCCA
Molecule: transfer RNA, 72 nt
Filed under: Phrynosoma platyrhinos (Desert horned lizard)
Lineage: Eukaryota; Metazoa; Chordata; Lepidosauria; Squamata; Phrynosomatidae
Description: tRNA-OTHER
Rfam family: tRNA (bases 9-72)
About the family: Transfer RNA (tRNA) molecules are approximately 80 nucleotides in length.
Source: RNAcentral